Molecule: transfer RNA, 68 nt
Filed under: Mecopoda niponensis
Lineage: Eukaryota; Metazoa; Arthropoda; Insecta; Orthoptera; Tettigoniidae
Description: tRNA-Pro
Source: RNAcentral
CAGGGGGUAGUUUAAGAGUAAAAUAUUAAUUUUGGGGAUUAAUGAAAGGUAAAUAUACUUUCCUCUGA